UGUGCGCGAGUCACUGGGAUCAUGUCUAAACCCAGAGGCGCAGUGAARGCGUGGGRCUCUCCCGGCAUAAAGCCGUGGCGAGCCGCUAAGGGAGGACGGCCGGUCGUUCCCGAACGGUGCGGCCGGCCAGCACUCCCGGGGCGCCUCGGCUCCGGCCGCAGGCGCACCCGGAGCGCACACGUUGGGACCCGAAAGAUGGUGAACUAUGCCCGGCCAGGACGAAGUCAGGGGAAACCCUGAUGGAGGUCCGCAGCGAUUCUGACGUGCAAAUCGAUCGUCAGAGCUAGGUAUAGGGGCGAAAGACUAAUCGAACCAUCUAGUAGCU
RNAcentral lists this ribosomal RNA (325 nucleotides) under Cornitermes sp. VR-2017. Its description in RNAcentral is "eukaryotic LSU rRNA". It matches the Rfam family "Eukaryotic large subunit ribosomal RNA", at positions 681 to 952 of the family's 3401-position model. The record is from RNAcentral. Lineage: Eukaryota; Metazoa; Arthropoda; Insecta; Blattodea; Termitidae.